RNAcentral lists this ribosomal RNA (273 nucleotides) under uncultured bacterium. RNAcentral describes it as "partial 16S ribosomal RNA". It matches the Rfam family "Bacterial small subunit ribosomal RNA", at positions 334 to 599 of the family's 1533-position model. The record is from RNAcentral.
AUUGCCUACGGGGGGCAGCAGUAGGGAAUCUUCCACAAUGGCCGAAAGUCUGAUGGAGCAACGCCGCGUGAGUGAAGAAGGGUUUCGGCUCGUAAAGCUCUGUUGGCAGUGAAGAAAGAUAGAGGUAGUAACUGGCCUUUAUUUGACGGUAAUUACUUAGAAAGUCACGGCUAACUACGUGCAAGCAGCCGCGGUAAUACGUAGGUGGCAAGCGUUGUCCGGAUUUUUUGGGCGUAAAGCGAGUGAAGGCGGUUCAAUAAUGGUGAUGUGAAA